This is a long non-coding RNA of Drosophila simulans, 2436 nucleotides long. RefSeq lists it as uncharacterized. The transcript is spliced from 2 exons. NCBI's taxonomy places the organism in Eukaryota, Metazoa, Arthropoda, Insecta, Diptera, Drosophilidae. The record is from RefSeq and is a predicted model, not a curated record.
UCUGUAAAGAGAGAAAUGUUUACAUUAAACAAGAGAGAAUGCUAUAAUCGAGUUUCCCGACUAUCUGAUACCCGUUACUCAGCUAGUGUGUAUUGGGGAAUAGAUUAAGAAAAAAUUUAAAAAUUAAACGUCACCGGUUCGGAGGCCUUAGGGUGUUAGAGUGGGCGUGCCAAAAAUAAUUUUUUGCAAAUCGAUAGAAAUUUACGCUUAGUGUAUAAUAAAGUUGUGACAAAAUAUCCAUUAAUUUUUAAAAAAGGUGGGCGGGUAUAAUUAUGUUCCCGUUCUAGUAACAUCCGUAAUUUUUGAAAUAUCUGAUUUUUCUGGUUCCUUUUCUUGGGCUGUUAAAAUAUUGGGCAUAGCUGAAGUUUGUAAUAAACAUGCAUAUGCAUUUUAAAUCCAGACUCUCCACUUUUAUAGGACCUAUGAGUCAUGCUCAAGAUCAUUUGUACCAAUCUAGAAAACGCCUUACUCGUAGCGCAAAGUCAUAUACAUAUACUAGUGAAGGGUAUAAUAAUCAUAUUACUCAACAGAUAUACGCGCAUAUAUGAACAAGUAAAAAAUAUAUAUAAAAGGGCUGUUCAAAAACCGGGAAAAUAUUUUAUUGGAUACAGAGUAAGCGAUGGCAUCUCGGUUACUUUAAUUUAUUUUUGCGAAAAAGUAACGAACAUUCUUAUAUCAUACAGGUCUAAUCUGCGUCAUCGAUUUUCCAACAAUUAGUUGCUCUUACCAUCUAUUUUACUUGCGAAGAUAGCACUGCCAGAUAAAGUUUCCAAUAUAUGUGGAGAAUGCAUUGAAGUGUCUGGAAUCUAGAUGGGGUCCCCAGAAUUAGAACUUUGUUCCCAGGUCGUCGAAGAGCUUUUUGAAGUCGUCAGUAGAGCAUUGAAAUUAUGGUGGAAUAGAUGCACGCAAUGGCUAUUUUACCAAGGUUUUGGAUUUAAUUCAAGUACCGCCAUUUAAGACAAGACAAUAGUUUGAAGUACGACCUAGAGCAAGUGUUGGUUGGGCUACGUUAAUAAUUGUGAUAAUUUUGAGACAAGGCGUAUCAUGGACACCAUCAUUUGGAAUGGAAUGCCAAUCUGAGAAACUAGGAUUGAUAGUCUUUCCUUGGAUUGGUCAUUGAACAUUUGCUGGGAUGUGGCAUUUUUGCGUGGACUUGCAAUAUGCUAAAAAUAAAAAAACGAUAAAACCUUAAUAAGUGGCUGUGUGGUUUUCGCAACAGUUAACACGUUAAACAUCCCUUACACAUCCAAGCCUUGUUUCAGACCACAUCUAAUAUGGGCAUAUGGGAAUAUUUUGGCAACAAUUUUUGGUGUUUUUAAAUGCUUGGCACCGAUAUAUAUCAACGUUUUUUAAGGGACUUCAACUUGAAACUCGUUGCCGACAGUGUUUUAAUAUCGUGGACUUCCUUGCUAUUAGCUGACGGUAACAAUUCAACAACUACUAGGUUGGCGAACUUGGUUUUGUGGAAGCGGCUUCUAGGUCUAGGUCUAUUAACAAAUUGCACCGCCAUUCAAGGGAGCAUUGCUGUUGGUAUUAUGGCUGAUAGUUUCUUUCAAACUCUGACAACGAAGAAUUAAGUGCCUGACUAAUUUUCUGUAGUUUUCGUACCUCAGAGGCGCUGAUGUUAAACUCAUCAUCGGAGUCCGAAGGACCAGGCAUAAUACACUGGUCCGAAAAUUAAGAAAACAAAUUUGGCUAACGACGCUCUCACUGACUGUAUCGAGUGCCAUCUCUCUCCUAAGAAUAUAAAGUGAAGUUAAUGUGCCUAAUCAUAGAGAGGAAUUGGCGAUAUUUUAAACAAAUUAAUUGAUUUUAAAUUUCUAGCCGAUUGAUAAGCCGUCGGUCGCUCUCAGACGGCGAGCACAUAUGUAAGGCGCAACGGAACAUGCAAAGCAAAUUAUGUUGGCAAAAAAGAGACGGGGACGAGCAAAAGGCGAGCAAAAUACCAAUAAGAGAACAAUAAGAGUCACGAUCUUUUUCGUGACUUUUAUUGGGUGCCAAUUUCUAAGCAAAUUGUAAUUAUUUUUGAAUUAAAUUCUAUAUGGAUUCAUUUUAUAAGAAACAUUUAUGCUAAAAGAUCAACCCCCCACCAUGUGGAUCAGGAAGUCUUUUUUUAAAUAAAAUUUAUUGGGAAACUAGAAGGUUAGUUUAUAUACAAUUAUACAUUAAGUGUUAUAUUUAUAAAUUUAAUUAAUUUUCUUAAGGUGGAAAAAAUUUACAUUUUUUAAAAGUACAAAGUAACGAAAAUUCUUAUUGCGAACCAAAUUUAUUUUUCCUUUUUUGUUAUAUUUUAAUCCUGUUAGAUAUAGAAUUAACCAACCUGUGCUGUGAUCUGAUCAAAACGUACUAAGUGUAUACUAAAUAAGAUUAAAUGUAAGUUAAAAAUAUUUUUUAACGUAUUAUAUUUUGCUACACGCCUUCUCAUGUUUUUUGUUU